RNAcentral lists this ribosomal RNA (497 nucleotides) under uncultured bacterium. RNAcentral describes it as "partial 16S ribosomal RNA". It matches the Rfam family "Bacterial small subunit ribosomal RNA", at positions 28 to 507 of the family's 1533-position model. The record is from RNAcentral.
GACGAACGCUGGCGGCGUGCCUAAUACAUGCAAGUCGAACGCUGAAGAGAGGAGCUUGCUCUUCUUGGAUGAGUUGCGAACGGGUGAGUAACGCGUAGGUAACCUGCCUUGUAGCGGGGGAUAACUAUUGGAAACGACAGCUAAUACCGCAUAACAAUGGAUGACACAUGUCAUUUAUUUGAAAGGGGCAAUUGCUCCACUACAAGAUGGACCUGCGUUGUAUUAGCUAGUAGGUGAGGUAACGGCUCACCUAGGCGACGAUACAUAGCCGACCUGAGAGGGUGGUCGGCCACCCUGGGACUGAGACCCGGCCCAGACUCCUACGGGAGGCAGCAGUAGGGGAUCUUCGGCAAUGGGGGCAAACCUGACCGAGCAACGCCGCGUGAGUGAAGAAGGUUUUCGGGUCGUAAAGCUCUGUUGUAAGUCAAGAACGAGUGUGAGAGUGGAAAGUUCACACUGUGACGGUAGCUUACCAGAAAGGGACGGCUAACUACGUG